Molecule: transfer RNA, 74 nt
Filed under: Chryseobacterium nakagawai
Lineage: Bacteria; Pseudomonadati; Bacteroidota; Flavobacteriia; Flavobacteriales; Weeksellaceae
Description: tRNA-Glu(ttc)
Rfam family: tRNA
About the family: Transfer RNA (tRNA) molecules are approximately 80 nucleotides in length. Their secondary structure includes four short double-helical elements and three loops (D, anti-codon, and T loops).
Source: RNAcentral
GACAUCUUCGUCUAAUUGGUUAGGACAGCAUUCUUUCAAGAUGCUAACACGGGUUCGAAUCCCGUAGAUGUUAC